Molecule: transfer RNA, 72 nt
Filed under: Duliticola sp. UPOL 000L01
Lineage: Eukaryota; Metazoa; Arthropoda; Insecta; Coleoptera; Lycidae
Description: tRNA-Glu
Source: RNAcentral
GUUCAUAUUUCUUGUUUAAGUAGGUUAAAAAAACCCCUACAUUUUCAUUGUAAAAUUAAUUAAAUUUCUUAA